GCCCGGAUGGCGGAAUCGGUAGACGCGCUGGUCUCAAACACCAGUGGGGCAACCCGUGCCGGUUCGACCCCGGCUCCGGGUA
Molecule: transfer RNA, 82 nt
Filed under: Bacteroidaceae bacterium
Lineage: Bacteria; Pseudomonadati; Bacteroidota; Bacteroidia; Bacteroidales; Bacteroidaceae
Also listed under: 1 other name
Description: tRNA-Leu
Rfam family: tRNA
About the family: Transfer RNA (tRNA) molecules are approximately 80 nucleotides in length. Their secondary structure includes four short double-helical elements and three loops (D, anti-codon, and T loops).
Source: RNAcentral